This 835-nucleotide ribosomal RNA is filed under the name uncultured Methylomirabilota bacterium. RNAcentral describes it as "bacterial SSU rRNA". It matches the Rfam family "Bacterial small subunit ribosomal RNA", at positions 199 to 1012 of the family's 1533-position model. Lineage: Bacteria; Methylomirabilota (SeqCode). The record is from RNAcentral.
GACCAAAGGGGGCGAGCGUAAGCGGCUCCCGCUGAWGGAUGGGCCUGCGGCUGAUUAGCUAGUUGGUGGGGUAGCGGCCUACCAAGGCGACGAUCAGUAGCCGACCUGAGAGGGUGACCGGCCACACUGGGACUGAGACACGGCCCAGACUCCUACGGGAGGCAGCAGUGGGGAAUAUUGCGCAAUGGGCGAAAGCCUGACGCAGCGACGCCGCGUGGGUGAUGAAGGCCUUCGGGUCGUAAAACCCUGUCGGGUGGAACGAAUCUCCGCCUUGCUAAUACCGAGGCGGCUUGACGGUACCACCGAAGGAAGCCCCGGCUAACUACGUGCCAGCAGCCGCGGUAGUACGUAGGGGGCGAGCGUUGUUCGGAUUUACUGGGCGUAAAGAGCGCGUAGGCGGUUCGAUCAGUCGGAGGUGAAAUCCCUCGGCUUAACCGAGGACCCGCGUCCGAUACUGUCGAACUUGAGUGCAGGAGAGGAGAGCGGAAUUCCCAGUGUAGCGGUGAAAUGCGUAGAUAUUGGGAGGAACACCGGUGGCGAAGGCGGCUCUCUGGACUGUCACUGACGCUGAGGCGCGAAAGCUAGGGGAGCAAACGGGAUUAGAUACCCCGGUAGUCCUAGCCGUAAACGAUGGGCACUAGGUGUGGGAGGUAUCGACCCCUUCCGUGCCGCAGCUAACGCAUUAAGUGCCCCGCCUGGGGAGUACGGUCGCAAGGUUGAAACUCAAAGGAAUUGACGGGGGCCCGCACAAGCGGUGGAGCAUGUGGUUUAAUUCGACGCAACGCGAAGAACCUUACCAGGACUUGACAUCCCGCGAAUCCCUUCGAAAGAAGGG